Molecule: long non-coding RNA, 2948 nt
Organism: Syngnathoides biaculeatus (alligator pipefish)
Lineage: Eukaryota; Metazoa; Chordata; Actinopteri; Syngnathiformes; Syngnathidae
Exons: 4
Source: RefSeq, a predicted model, not a curated record
GGCAGAUAUUCAACUUUGUGUAUCAGUGUUAAUCAUUUUCUUGGCUGUAUGUGUCCAAUGGGAGGACAUAUUAUUAUGCGUUGUCUUUUUUGGUAAUUGUUUUUAAUUUAUUGAACUAACUUAGUUUCACUUUAAGUUCAAUGACAGAUUCACAGUGUUUUUUUUGUACUGUAUUUGGUCUCAUUGGUCCAUUUUCCCAGAAAGAUCCCACAAAUGGUAUCCGAGUGGAAAACAUGGAUCUUAAAAUUUCUUCUUGUUUGGUAAAUGACGAUAAAAUUACCGCCCACAAGUGCGAAAGCUUGAAGGCGAGUGUUUUUCCAUCCCCGUUGCUGGCUAGUUUGGGAUCGUGCAAUGCUAUUUGCCGCUUAUUUUUCUCAAAUCCAAAUGAAACAUCAGCCUGCUGCUCGAGUAUGCAAAAUGCAGUCUCAUUCAAAUUCCACAGCAGAUUUUUAAAAAUAGUUUUUACAAUUCCUCUAAAUGAAUAUAGUCCAAACGGUAAUCAAGUGGUACAGCGACCAAGCCCUGCCAUGAAUACUAAAAAUCUAGAAUUGACAACUCUUUGAAAGGUUUAUAAUUAAUUCUAGAUGCAACAAAAUAGCGACAAAAUACAUUUCUAUCAUUUUUAUAUUUCUAUCAGGACAUUGCCCUGCAUAUAAAAACAGCAAAUAGGUGAGUUUUUUUGUUUUGUUUUUUAAAGUGGAGCGGCUGUACCUGACUCGGUGUAUGACUAAAUCUCAAAUGCAUGAAACUUCAUGAAUAUCAAUAUUACUUUUAAUAAAGUAUGUGUUUUGCUAUGUUACAAUGAAUACAUGCCAUUCACUACUUUUAUUUAUCCUUGCGUGUGGGCAUUUAUUUUUAGACUCCAUUUUUAACUUCCGCAUAGGUUGUCUUUUGCCUGUGUCAAAGUCGACUACCAAUGCCGUUCGACUCCAAUUCACCAAUCAGACGACACAAACCCCAUCACAUGACAAUGCAUGUGACCUUCGUGAGCCAAUCAAAAUGACUCAUUUAUUGGGUGUGCAGGUGUGGGACUGCGUUUGUUUACCAAAAAAACAAAACAACAACUUUGUCAAGCAGCUCCUGCUCAAACUUGGAUGUUUCAGUUCGCUCCAAACUUGAGACAACACCUUGUGGUCUUCCAGUGGAUGCGUGGAACAGCAUGAAAGGAUCUACUAGUCAUAACUGAUUAAAAGCCAUUUCCUGUCGUGUUACAGCCACUGUUUGGAAACAAGCAGCUUGACAGAAGAUGCCCGUUUCACUUCACUUCCUGCCCCAUUAAUAUUUCCGCAUCCUAUUUUGAGUCAGCCACGAGAAAGAAAGAAAAGCUGUCAGCGUGACACUAAAAACACGCACAUGCCCGCUCGCCAUGACGACUAUUCUGACGUCGCGUUUCACUGCAGGCUCCUCGCAGCCGUGCGAGGUUGAGAGACGAGAGAACUUCAACCAAGAGGAACGAUGAUGGGUGAAAUCGCCGGUGGCAAAAAUGGGCUGCUGUGGGGUUAAAUUCAUCUUCACUUUGAGGAAUACCAUCAAAAGUGGAGCAGACUGAACAUGACGCAACAAAGCCUCAAAUGUUAAAAGGUGGAUUGCGAAACAUUUAGCAUUUAGCAUACCACCACGGGCAGUUGCUGUUCCAGUGGUUUGAUUAACGUUUUUGUUCCUGAAGUCCACAAUACUUUUGCGCGGCUGACAAAUCUGUCAACUAAUCAGGCAAACCACACUGCCACAAAGUUUAAAAGGAAUAAUUAAAAAAAGAACAAAUAUCUACCGCAAUUUCAGGCCUACAUAGCACACCGGAUUAUCAAACUCACCCAGUACAUUUGUAAAGGAAAUAACGUGGUAUAUACAUAAGCCGCACCUGUGUAAAAGCCGCAAGGGCCCACAUUGAAACCCACGUUGAAACACGAGAUAUUUACAAAGAAAGACGGUACACAGAGUGUUCAAAGUUUUAAUACCUUACCUUAGCUUUACACAGCUACAACACGGUAGCACGAACAGGGCUGGUUUAAAAACAACAACUAGAAAAAACAUACCGCGGCAGCUACACCGGAGCAACAUGGUAGCACAGCACUAACAGAGCCGCAGAGCCGGUUUAAAAAAAAAACAAAAACAAAAAAAAAAACAUACCUAAAUCACUGAGACGCGGCAGUAACACAAGAGAAACACGCUAGCGUGGCGCUAACAGGGCCGGUUAAAAAAAAAAAUGAUACCUGUAAAAAUCAGAGACGUGGCAGUGACAUAACUGCAACACGGUAGCACAGCGCUAACAGGGCCGGUAAAAAAACAAAAACAACAAAAGGAAAACAUCCCGGUAAAAAUCACUGAGACGCGUCAGUAACACACCAGCAACAUCCUAGCACAGCGCUAAGAGGGCCGGUUAAAUAAAAAUAAAAAAUAAAAAUCACGGUAAAAAUAACUGAGAUGUGGCAGUAACACAACUGCAACAGGCUAGCACAGUGCUAACAGGGCCGGUAAAAAAACAAACAAAAAAAAAAACAUUGCAGUAAAAAUCCCUGAGACGCAGCAGUAACACAGCAGCAACAUCCUAGCACAGCGCUAAUAGGGCUGCUUUAAAAAAAAUAAAAAUCACUGAGACGCGGCAGCAACAUGCUAGCACAGUGCUAACGCUAGCUAGCGCAGCACGAACAAAAAAACAUCCCGGUAAAAGUCACUUCCUCGGCACAUAUAUUCCACCCGUCUUACUCUUACCUUUUUUGCUCGAGUGCCCCCCUUGCGGUUACAAAAAUUGCACAAAUUACCUGGAUCGCCGCAUAGGACGCAGAGUUGAAAGCGUAUGAAAAAAGUCGCCCCUUAUAGGCCGGAAAUUAUGGAAUUGUUGGAUAAAUAACCGUGGCUUUUUGUUGAAAAGGACUUGUAGCGCGCAAUACACAAACAAAUACAAUACACAGAUAAAACAAAGCCACAGUACAGAACGGUCUAUUGACAUA